GACGACUCACUUCAUAGUUCAUACCUAUGUGCCUACCACAUGCGCUACGUGUAUGUUGUGUACUAAUGAAAAUAUAUUAAUUACUUAUGUGUAGAUCAAACACCGGACGACUUGCUUCAUUUUCCUAACGAGAAGAAUGUUUGUAACUCCGAGCCACGCUUGAUAGAAAAGAAAGCAUUCUACAUCAUGUUACUGUUUUC
This 200-nucleotide long non-coding RNA is filed under the name Hordeum vulgare. RNAcentral's name for it is "long non-coding RNA (HVUL_LNC001228)". The record is from RNAcentral. Lineage: Eukaryota; Viridiplantae; Streptophyta; Magnoliopsida; Poales; Poaceae.